GCGGGGCUGGCCGGCGGGGGUGCGCCCGAGGCGGGCGCGGCCGGGCCUGCCGGGCCGUUCGGCGCGGCCGGGCUGCU
RNAcentral lists this transfer RNA (77 nucleotides) under Saccharothrix algeriensis. RNAcentral's name for it is "tRNA-Pro". The record is from RNAcentral. RNAcentral also lists the same sequence under 1 other name. Lineage: Bacteria; Bacillati; Actinomycetota; Actinomycetes; Pseudonocardiales; Pseudonocardiaceae.